Molecule: ribosomal RNA, 548 nt
Filed under: uncultured Glomus
Lineage: Eukaryota; Fungi; Glomeromycota; Glomeromycetes; Glomerales; Glomeraceae
Description: SSU rRNA
Rfam family: Eukaryotic small subunit ribosomal RNA
Source: RNAcentral
UUGGAGGGCAAGUCUGGUGCCAGCAGCCGCGGUAAUUCCAGCUCCAAUAGCGUAUAUUAAAGUUGUUGCAGUUAAAAAGCUCGUAGUUGAAUUUCGGAAUCAGUAUGUUGGUCGUGCUUCGGUACGUACUGUCAUUACUGGUUUCUCCCUUCUGAAGAACCUUGAUGUCAUUAAUUUGGUGUCCUGGGGAAUCAGGAUUGUUACUUUGAAAAAAUUAGAGUGUUUAAAGCAGGCAUACGCUUGAAUACAUUAGCAUGGAAUAAUGAAAUAGGGCGUUUGAUUCUAUUUUGUUGGUUUCUAGGAUCGACGUAAUGAUUAAUAGGGAUAGUUGGGGGCAUUAGUAUUCAAUUGUCAGAGGUGAAUUUCUUGGAUUUAUUGAGGACUAACUACUGCGAAAGCAUUUGCCAAGGAUGUUUUCAUUAAUCAAGAACGGAAGUUAGGGGAUCGGAGACGAUCAGAUACCGUCGUAGUCUAAACCAUAAACUAUGCCGACUAGGGAUCGGAUGAUGUUAAUUUUUUAAUGACUCAUUCGGCGCCUUACGGGAAAC